AUGAACGCUAGCGAUGGGCUUAACCCAUGCAAGUCGAGGGGCAGCACAAGGUAGCUUGCUCUCUGGGUGGCGACCGGCGCACGGGUGCGUAACGCGUAUGCAACUUGCCCUAUACAGGAGGAUAACCCGUCGAAAGACGGACUAAUACUGCGUAUGCUCACAACUUGGCAUCAAGUGGUGAGGAAAGAAAUUCGGUAUAGGAUAGGCAUGCGUCCCAUUAGCUUGUUGGUGAGGUAACGGCUCACCAAGGCAACGAUGGGUAGGGGAACUGAGAGGUUUAUCCCCCACACUGGUACUGAGACACGGACCAGACUCCUACGGGAGGCAGCAGUGAGGAAUAUUGGUCAAUGGGCGCGAGCCUGAACCAGCCAAGUCGCGUGAAGGAUGACUGUCUUAUGGAUUGUAAACUUCUUUUAUACGGGAAUAACAAGAGUCACGUGUGACUCCCUGCAUGUACCGGAUGAAUAAGCAUCGGCUAACUCCGUG
This 486-nucleotide ribosomal RNA is filed under the name uncultured bacterium. RNAcentral's name for it is "partial 16S ribosomal RNA". It matches the Rfam family "Bacterial small subunit ribosomal RNA", at positions 29 to 507 of the family's 1533-position model. The record is from RNAcentral.